AAACCUGGCAGUUCCCUACUCUCACAUGGGGAGACCCCACACUACCAUCGGCGCUACGGCGUUUCACUUCUGAGUUCGGCAUGGGGUCAGGUGGGACCACCGCGCUAUCGCCGCCAGGUAA
This 121-nucleotide ribosomal RNA is filed under the name Pectobacterium atrosepticum SCRI1043. The record is from RNAcentral. Lineage: Bacteria; Pseudomonadati; Pseudomonadota; Gammaproteobacteria; Enterobacterales; Pectobacteriaceae.